Oncorhynchus tshawytscha (Chinook salmon) is the source of this 1472-nucleotide long non-coding RNA. NCBI's taxonomy places the organism in Eukaryota, Metazoa, Chordata, Actinopteri, Salmoniformes, Salmonidae. The record is from Ensembl.
ACACACACUACACACACUAUACACACACACUCCCAUAUUUGUUUUUCUUUCCACAAGUCUCUUAUAAAACCUCAGGAACAAUGAUGUAUUUUAGAGUACUAUGCUCUGACACACACUACACACACACACACACACCAUGCCCAGUAAGGGCAUUCGUUUUCCCACACAGAGCUCUUGAGUUUCACUGUUGAAAGGUCAACAAACCUUACCACCAACACCAAUGCUAUGGUAUUUCAACAGAAACCCCCUGGAACUCUGACCACAGCUAGCUACACAUGGGAUUCUGGGUAGUGAUAUAGUGGCAAAACAAAUAGGUGGGUAGAAGCCGAUCACAGAGCGAUUUAAAGUAACGCUCCCUGUAUUUUCUGUUCUCCUCAAAAGGUAGGGAGAAAAUCCCGCAAAAUCAAAAAAGAUGGUGUGUAACCUGGGAAACCUCUCUCAUGGUUACCAUAGUGACAGGCUAGCUGAGCCCAGUACAGAGCUGGAGAAAACUAGCACCUCCAGUUAACACAUGGUCUCCACGUCUAACCCCCGACACACACACCCUCCCUGACCUGUCCACUCUCUCCCCGAGGACUGUUUACAUUCUGACUGGAGCAGAACACUGAUUCCUCUGAUUCACUAGAGGCUUUCUAUCUAAAUCACCAGGGUUACAACAGAACGCUGAUUCACUAGAGGCUUUAUAUCUAAAUCACCAGGGUUACAACAGAAUGCUGAUUCACUAGAGGCUUUAUAUCUAAAUCACCAGGGUUACAACAGAACACUGAUUCACUAGAGGCUUUCUAUCUAAAUCACCAGGGUUACCACAGAACACUGAUUCACGAGAGGCUUUAUAUCUAAAUCACCAGGGUUACAACAGAACACUGAUUCACUAGAGGCUUUAUAUCUAAAUCACCAGGGUUACAACAGAACACUGAUUCACUAGAGGCUUUCUAUCUAAAUCACCAGGGUUACAACAGAACACUGAUUCACUAGAGGCUUUAUAUCUAAAUCACCAGGGUUACAACAGAACACUGAUUCACUAGAGGCUUUCUAUCUAAAUCACCAGGGUUACCACAGAACACUGAUUCACUAGAGGCUUUAUAUCUAAAUCACCAGGGUUACAACAGAACACUGAUUCACUAGAGGCUUUCUAUCUAAACCACCAGGGUUACAACAGAACACUGAUUCCUCUGAUUCACUAGAGGCUUUAUAUCUAAACCACCAGGGUUACAACAGAACACUGAUUCACUAGAGGCUUUAUAUCUAAACCACCAGGGUUACAACAGAACACUGAUUCACUAGAGGCUUUCUAUCUAAAUCACCAGGGUUACAACAGAACACUGAUUCACUAGAGGCUUUCUAUCUAAACCACCAGGGUUACAACAGAACACUGAUUCCUCUGAUUCACUAGAGGCUUUAUAUCUAAACCACCAGGGUUACAACAGAACACUGAUUCACUAGAGGCUUUCUAUCUAAAUCACCAGGGUUAC